GUGAGUAACACGUGGGUAACCUGCCUGUAAGACUGGGAUAACUCCGGGAAACCGGGGCUAAUACCGGAUGGUUGUUUGAACCGCAUGGUUCAGACAUAAAAGGUGGCUUCGGCUACCACUUACAGAUGGAACCGCGGCGCAUUAGCUAGUUGGUGAGGUAACGGCUCACCAAGGCGACGAUGCGUAGCCGACCUGAGAGGGUGAUCGGCCACACUGGGACUGAGACACGGCCCAGACUCCUACGGGAGGCAGCAGUAGGGAAUCUUCCGCAAUGGACGAAAGUCUGACGGAGCAACGCCGCGUGAGUGAUGAAGGUUUUCGGAUCGUAAAGCUCUGUUGUUAGGGAAGAACAAGUGGCGUUCAAAUAGGGCGGCACCUUGACGGUACCUAACCAGUAAGCCACGGCUAACUACGUGCCAGCAGCCGCGGUAAUACGUAGGUGGCAAGCGUUGUCCGGAAUUAUUGGGCGUAAAGGGCUCGCAGGCGGUUUCUUAAGUCUGAUGUGAAAGCCCCCGGCUCAACCGGGGAGGGUCAUUGGAAACUGGGGAACUUGAGUGCAGAAGAGGAGAGUGGAAUUCCACGUGUAGCGGUGUAAUGCGUAGAGAUGUGGAGGAACACCAGUGGCGAAGGCGACUCUCUGGUCUGUAACUGACGCUGAGGAGCGAAAGCGUGGGGAGCGAACAGGAUUAGAUACCCUGGUAGUCCACGCCGUAAACGAUGAGUGCUAAGUGUUAAGGGGUUUCCGCCCCUUAGUGCUGCAGCUAACGCAUUAAGCACUCCGCCUGGGGAGUACGGUCGCAAGACUGCAACUCAAAGGAAUUGACGGGGGCCCGCACAAGCGGUGGAGCAUGUGGUUUAAUUCGAAGCAACGCGAAGAACCUUACCAGGUCUUGACAUCCUCUGACAAUCCUAGAGAUAGGACGUCCCCUUCGGGGGCAGAGUGACAGGUCGUGCAUGGUUGUCGUCAGCUCGUGUCGUGAGAUGUUGGGUUAAGUCCCGCAACGAGCGCAACCCUUGAUCUUAGUUGCCAGCAUUCAGUUGGGCACUCUAAGGUGACUGCCGGUGACAAACCGGAGGAAGGUGGGGAUGACGU
This 1093-nucleotide ribosomal RNA is filed under the name Bacillus sp. (in: firmicutes). Its description in RNAcentral is "bacterial SSU rRNA". It matches the Rfam family "Bacterial small subunit ribosomal RNA", at positions 106 to 1185 of the family's 1533-position model. The record is from RNAcentral. Lineage: Bacteria; Bacillati; Bacillota; Bacilli; Caryophanales; Bacillaceae.